AGCGAACGCUGGCGGCGUGCUUAACACAUGCAAGUCGAGUGCGCGGUUCGUAGCAAUACGAACUGGCGCACGGCGCACGGGUGAGGAACACGUGGGCAACAUGCCCUCCGAUGGGGAAUAACCCGCCGAAAGGCGGGCUAAUACCGCAUACGAUUCCGGGGACCUCGGUUCCUGGACUGAAAGCCCGCAAGGGCGUCGGUGGAGUGGCCCGCGGCCGAUUAGCUUGUUGGCGGGGAACGGCCACCAAGGCAAUGAUCGGUAGCCGGUCUGAGAGGAUGAUCGGCCACACUGGAACUGAGACACGGUCCAGACUCCUACGGGA
This 322-nucleotide ribosomal RNA is filed under the name uncultured bacterium. Its description in RNAcentral is "bacterial SSU rRNA". It matches the Rfam family "Bacterial small subunit ribosomal RNA", at positions 28 to 346 of the family's 1533-position model. The record is from RNAcentral.